UGAUGACGGUACCAUUUGUAAGCUCCGGCUAACUCCGUGCCAGCAGCCGCGGUAAUACGGGGGGAGCAAGCGUUGUUCGGAUUUACUGGGCGUAAAGGGCGCGUAGGCGGNCAGCNCAAGUCAGUUGUGAAAUCUCCGGGCUUAACUCGGAAAGGUCAACUGAUACUGNGCGNCUAGAGUGCGGAAGGGGCAACUGGAAUUCUCGGUGUAGCGGUGAAAUGCGUAGAUAUCGAGAGGAACACCUGCGGCGAAGGCGGGUUGCUGGGCCGACACUGACGCUGAGGCGCGAAAGCCAGGGGAGCGAACGGGAUUAGAUACCCCGGUAGUCCUGGCCUUAAACGAUGGAUGCUUGGUGUCUGGGGUUUUAUAGUCCCCGGGUGCCGUA
This 385-nucleotide ribosomal RNA is filed under the name uncultured bacterium. RNAcentral describes it as "bacterial SSU rRNA". It matches the Rfam family "Bacterial small subunit ribosomal RNA", at positions 467 to 850 of the family's 1533-position model. The record is from RNAcentral.